RNAcentral lists this ribosomal RNA (451 nucleotides) under uncultured bacterium. Its description in RNAcentral is "bacterial SSU rRNA". It matches the Rfam family "Bacterial small subunit ribosomal RNA", at positions 354 to 796 of the family's 1533-position model. The record is from RNAcentral.
GUGAGGAAUUUUGCGCAAUGGCCGCAAGGCUGACGCAGCAACGCCGCGUGGGUGAUGAAGGCCUUCGGGUCGUAAAGCCCUGUCAGGUGGGAAGAACAGCACCUUCUCGAAUAGGGGGGGUGUUUGACGGUACCACCAGAGGAAGCACCGGCUAACUCCGUGCCAGCAGCCGCGGUAAUACGGAGGGUGCGAGCGUUAUUCGGAAUUACUGGGCGUAAAGCGCGUGCAGGCGGGAAGGUAAGUCUGAUGUGAAAGCCCCGGGCUCAACCCGGGAAGUGCAUUGGAAACUGCUUUUCUUGAGUACUGGAGAGGAAGGGGGAAUUCCCGGUGUAGAGGUGAAAUUCGUAGAGAUCGGGAGGAAUACCAGUGGCGAAGGCGCCCUUCUGGACGGUUACUGACGCUGAGACGCGAAAGCGUGGGGAGCAAACAGGAUUAGAAACCCCUGUAGUCC